RNAcentral lists this ribosomal RNA (411 nucleotides) under uncultured Leptolinea sp. Its description in RNAcentral is "bacterial SSU rRNA". It matches the Rfam family "Bacterial small subunit ribosomal RNA", at positions 962 to 1382 of the family's 1533-position model. Lineage: Bacteria; Bacillati; Chloroflexota; Anaerolineae; Anaerolineales; Anaerolineaceae. The record is from RNAcentral.
CGAAGAACCUUUACCAGGGUUUGACAUGCAAGUGGUAGGAAUCCGAAAGGUGACCGACCCUUCGGGGAGGCUUGCACAGGUGCUGCAUGGCUGUCGUCAGCUCGUGUCGUGAGAUGUUCGGUUAAGUCCGCUAACGAGCGCAACCCUCGUCGUGUGUUAUACGUGUCACACGAUACUGCCGGUAUCAAGCCGGAGGAAGGUGGGGAGUGAUGUCAAGUCAGCAUGGCCUUUAUAUCCUGGGCUACACACACGCUACAAUGGCAGAUACAAUAGGUUGCGAAACCGCGAGGUGGAGCCAAUCCUCAAAGUCUGUCUCAGUUCAGAUUGUAGGCUGCAACUCGCCUGGCAUGAAGUUGGAGUUGCUAGUAAACGCAGGUCAGCUAUACUGCGUUGAAUACGUUCCCGGGUCUU